Molecule: ribosomal RNA, 467 nt
Filed under: uncultured bacterium
Lineage: Bacteria
Description: partial 16S ribosomal RNA
Rfam family: Bacterial small subunit ribosomal RNA
Source: RNAcentral
GACGAACGCUGGCGGCGUGCUUAACACAUGCAAGUCGAACGAUGACGACCGAGCUUGCUCGGUCUGAUUAGUGGCGAACGGGUGAGUAACACGUGAGCAACCUGCCCUUCACUCUGGGAUAACCUCGGGAAAUCGGGGCUAAAACCGGAUAUGAGCUCCUGUCGCAUGGCGGGUGUUGGAAAGUUUUUCGGUGAAGGAUGGGCUCGCGGCCUAUCAGUUUGUUGGUGAGGUAGUGGCUCACCAAGGCGAUGACGGGUAGCCGGCCUGAGAGGGCGACCGGCCACACUGGGACUGAGACACGGCCCAGACUCCUACGGGAGGCAGCAGUGGGGAAUAUUGCACAAUGGGCGAAAGCCUGAUGCAGCGACGCCGCGUGAGGGAUGACGGCCUUCGGGUUGUAAACCUCUUUCAGCAGGGAAGAAGCGAAAGUGACGGUACCUGCAGAAGAAGCGCCGGCUAACUACGUG